This 439-nucleotide ribosomal RNA is filed under the name uncultured bacterium. RNAcentral describes it as "partial 16S ribosomal RNA". It matches the Rfam family "Bacterial small subunit ribosomal RNA", at positions 338 to 795 of the family's 1533-position model. The record is from RNAcentral.
CCUACGGGUGGCAGCAGUGGGGAAUGUUGCGCAAUGGGGGAAACCCUGACGCAGCAACGCCGCGUGCGGGACGACGGCCCUCGGGUUGUAAAACGCUUUCAGUGGGGACGAUGGUGACGGUACCCACAGAAGAAGCUCCGGCUAACUACGUGCCAGAAGACGCGGUAAUACGGAGGGAGCGAGCGUUAUCCGGAUGCAUUGGGCGUAAAGCGCGCGUAGGCGGCUGCAUAAGCGGACCCUCGAAUCCCGGGGCUCAACCUCGGGCCGCGUUUCGAAAUGGGCGGCUCGAGUGCGGUAGAGGCAGGCGGAAUGCCCGGUGUAGCGGUGGAAUGCGCAGAUAUCGGGAAGAACACCGAUGGCGAAGGCAGCCUGCUGGGCCCUCACUGACGCUGAGGCGCGAAAGCUGGGGGAGCGAACAGGAUUAGAUACCCGGGUAGUC